This 1521-nucleotide ribosomal RNA is filed under the name Triticum aestivum (bread wheat). RNAcentral describes it as "partial small subunit ribosomal RNA". Lineage: Eukaryota; Viridiplantae; Streptophyta; Magnoliopsida; Poales; Poaceae. The record is from RNAcentral.
AUGGACGGUGAUGCAUGCUACUAUCUCCUAGCUCUUCUUCCACUUGUGUACACCAUCAUUCGCUUCUCCAGAGCGUUCUUUGGCUCCGGCAACCGCGGUCUACGGCUCCCUCCGGGCCCAUGGCAGCUUCCUGUCAUCGGCAGCCUCCACCACCUUUUCGGCGCCCUCCCACACCGUGCCUUACGGGACCUCUCCCGACGCCAUGGGCCUCUGAUGCUCCUCAAGUUCGGCAAGGUCCCAGUGAUCAUCGCCUCCAGCGCCGAGGCUGCCAAGGAGAUCAUGAAGACGCACGACCACGUCUUCUGCACCAGGCCGCUGAGCGCAUCUGCCAAGGUGUUGAACGAGCAUGGCCCCGGGAUCUCCUUUGCCCCGUACGGCGAGCACUUGCGGCAGCUACGCAAGAUUUGCAUCGUCGCGCUGCUGAACGCCAAGCGCAUCAACUCUUUCCGUCCCACCCGUGAGCAGGAGGUGAGCGUGCUCAUCCGCUCCAUCUCAUCCGCAUCAAAGUCGGAGCCACUUGUGAACCUGAGUAAGAUGCUCACCAUCCACGGGACGGACACAACGGUGCACUCAAUCAUGGGUACCCGGUUCAAGGACAGCGACGUUGGCACCUUGCUCGGUCAUGUGAAAGAGGCGGUGCGGCUGAUAGGUAGCCUCACCAUAUCCGACUUGUUCCCGUCGUCGUGGCUAGCACGCACUCUGAGCAGCACGCUGCACAGGGCUGCGGUCUGCCGGGACUCGUCGCUAUUGUUCCUGGAACGCGUCAUCUGUGAGCAUCUUGAGAGAAGGUCCUCCAUGGAUGUGCACCAGGAAAUCCUGAUCGAUGUCCUCUUGAGGAUCAAACGAGAAGGCAACCUUCAGUUCCCCCUCACCAUGGACAAUAUCAAAGCAGUGAUUUUCGAUGUUUUUGCAGGAGGGGUUGAGGCACCAGUAACAACGCUACUGUGGGCCAUGGCAGAGUUGAUGCAAAACCCUAGCGUGAUGUCUAGAGCACAAGCUGAGGUCAGGGGUGCCUUCAUGGGACAAAUGGAGGUAACCGAGGAGGGUCUAGGCCAGCUAAGCUACUUGCAUUGUGUCAUCAAGGAGACCAUGCGAUUGCACACACCUGGUCCAUUAUUAUUGCCAAGGGAAUGCCAAGAACAAUGCAAUAUACUUGGCUAUGAUGUUCCCAAAGGUGCUACUGUUCUUGUGAAUGCUUGGGCUAUCUCAAGGGACCCGGAAUACUGGGACGAACCAGAAGCAUUCGUGCCAGAUAGAUUUAUGGGUAGUAAGAUAGAUUACAAAGGCAACGACUUUGAGUUCACACCUUUCGGUGCCGGACGUCGGAUUUGCCCCGGGAUGCAUUUUGGGAUCGCGAAUAUUGAGCUAGCACUCGCAAGUCUCCUAUUUUAUUUUGACUGGGCUCUCCCAGAUGGCAUUCUUCCUGGUGAUCUUGACAUGACAGAAACCAUGGGAAUCACUGCUAGGAAGAAGGAGGAUCUGUGGUUGCGUGCAACUCUCCACGUACAGCUGCCCUGCUGA